CAACCUGCCGAUGACUCGGGGAUAGCCUUUCGAAAGAAAGAUUAAUACCCGAUGGCAUAGUUCUUCCGCAUGGUGGAACUAUUAAAGAAUUUCGGUCCUCGAUGGGGAUGCGUUCCAUUAGGUUGUUGGCGGGGUAACGGCCCACCAAGCCUUCGAUGGAUAGGGGUUCUGAGAGGAAGGUCCCCCACAUUGGAACUGAGACACGGUCCAAACUCCUACGGGAGGCAGCAGUGAGGAAUAUUGGUCAAUGGACGAGAGUCUGAACCAGCCAAGUAGCGUGAAGGAUGACUGCCCUAUGGGUUGUAAACUUCUUUUAUACGGGAAUAAAGUGAGGCACGUGUGCCUUUUUGUAUGUACCGUAUGAAUAAGGAUCGGCUAACUCCGUGCCAGCAGCCGCGGUAAUACGGAGGAUCCGAGCGUUAUCCGGAUUUAUUGGGUUUAAAGGGAGCGUAGGCGGACGCUUAAGUCAGUUGUGAAAGUUUGCGGCUCAACCGUAAAAUUGCAGUUGAUACUGGGUGUCUUGAGUACAGUAGAGGCAGGCGGAAUUCGUGGUGUAGCGGUGAAAUGCUUAGAUAUCACGAAGAACUCCGAUUG
Molecule: ribosomal RNA, 594 nt
Filed under: uncultured Bacteroidota bacterium
Lineage: Bacteria; Pseudomonadati; Bacteroidota
Description: bacterial SSU rRNA
Rfam family: Bacterial small subunit ribosomal RNA
Source: RNAcentral